GACGAACGCUGGCGGCGUGCUUAACACAUGCAAGUCGAACGGUAAGGCCCUUCGGGGUACACGAGUGGCGAACGGGUGAGUAACACGUGGGUGAUCUGCCCUGCACUUCGGGAUAAGCCUGGGAAACUGGGUCUAAUACCGGAUAGGACCACUGCCUGCAUGGGUGGGGGUGGAAAGCUUUUGCGGUGUGGGAUGGGGCCGCGGCCUAUCAGCUUGUUGGUGGGGUGAUGGCCUACCAAGGCGACGACGGGUAGCCGGCCUGAGAGGGUGACCGGCCACACUGGGACUGAGAUACGGCCCAGACUCCUACGGGAGGCAGCAGUGGGGAAUAAUGCACAAUGGGCGCAAGCCUGAUGCAGCGACGCCGCGUGAGGGAUGACGGCCUUCGGGUUGUAAACCUCUUUCAGCACCGACGAAGCGCAAGUGACGGUAGGUGCAGAAGAAGGACCGGCCAACUACGUGCCAGCCGCCGCCGUAA
RNAcentral lists this ribosomal RNA (478 nucleotides) under uncultured bacterium. RNAcentral's name for it is "partial 16S ribosomal RNA". It matches the Rfam family "Bacterial small subunit ribosomal RNA", at positions 28 to 523 of the family's 1533-position model. The record is from RNAcentral.